CGCCAGGAUAUUACGAGCAAUAGCUUAAAAUCCAAAGGACUUGACGGUGUCCCUUACCCAUCUAGAGGAGCCUGCCCUAUAAUCGAUUAUCCCCGCUAGACCCUACCAUCUCUUGCCAAUCAGCUUGUAUACUUCCGUCGUAAGCUUACCAUGUGAAAGACCAAUAGUGGGCCUAAUGUUCCGUUUCACCAGUACGUCAGGUCAAGGUGCAGCCUAUGAGAUGGGAAAGGGUGGGCUACAAUUUCUAUAAUAGAACACACGAAACCCUGCAUGAAAACCCAGAAAUGAAGGUGGAUUUAGUAGUAAAAAGAAAAUAGAGUGUUCUUUUUAAUGAGCCGCUGGGGCGAGUACACACCGCCCGUCACCCUCUUCGAUAGCAAACAAUAAGUAUUUAACACAUUUAUGCAUAGUAGAAGAGGUAAGUCGUAACACGGUAAGCGUACUGGAAAGUGCGCUUGGAUA
Molecule: ribosomal RNA, 462 nt
Filed under: Ptychadena anchietae (savanna ridged frog)
Lineage: Eukaryota; Metazoa; Chordata; Amphibia; Anura; Ptychadenidae
Description: partial 12S ribosomal RNA
Rfam family: Bacterial small subunit ribosomal RNA
Source: RNAcentral